This 497-nucleotide ribosomal RNA is filed under the name uncultured bacterium. RNAcentral's name for it is "partial 16S ribosomal RNA". It matches the Rfam family "Bacterial small subunit ribosomal RNA", at positions 28 to 507 of the family's 1533-position model. The record is from RNAcentral.
GAUGAACGCUGGCGGCGUGCCUAAUACAUGCAAGUCGAGUGAACAGAUGAGGAGCUUGCUCCUCUGACGUUAGCGGCGGACGGGUGAGUAACACGUGGAUAACCUACCUAUAAGACUGGGAUAACUUCGGGAAACCGGAGCUAAUACCGGAUAAUAUAUUGAACCGCAUGGUUCAAUAGUGAAAGACGGUUUUGCUGUCACUUAUAGAUGGAUCCGCGCCGCAUUAGCUAGUUGGUAAGGUAACGGCUUACCAAGGCAACGAUGCGUAGCCGACCUGAGAGGGUGAUCGGCCACACUGGAACUGAGACACGGUCCAGACUCCUACGGGAGGCAGCAGUAGGGAAUCUUCCGCAAAGGGCGAAAGCCUGACGGAGCAACGCCGCGUGAGUGAUGAAGGUCUUCGGAUCGUAAAACUCUGUUAUUAGGGAAGAACAAAUGUGUAAGUAACUAUGCACGUCUUGACGGUACCUAAUCAGAAAGCCACGGCUAACUACGUG